Molecule: long non-coding RNA, 1292 nt
Organism: Astatotilapia calliptera (eastern happy)
Lineage: Eukaryota; Metazoa; Chordata; Actinopteri; Cichliformes; Cichlidae
Source: Ensembl
CACAGGUUAAUACACUCUACUGAUCCCUGAUGGGAGAAUCAUCAAUUUUGGCAACAAAGAAGCCUGGUGGAUGUUUGUUUACAGUCUGAUGAUGGGACAUCAUGCUCUGCAUCUUCAAAUCUUUUCGCAGGAUCAGAAAACAAAACCAGGAGGCGCGUAAAUGUUUCUUCUCCAUGAUGUUUCUUCAAAUGUUUCUUCUGGAUGAUGAUAAGACUGUGACACGGGAUGCCACCUUUGGUCUUGUGAUGAAGCAAAGGUCAGGAAGAAGUGGGAUUAACUGGUACCCACAUCUGAGAAGGAUGUACAGGGGCACCUGCAGCCAAAUCCAAGCUUCAGAGCAGAGCGGCAGUUUGUGCUCACAGAUGGUGACGGUGUGGAGAGACGGUGGUGUUUCCUCAGAAGAACCAGCAGAGUCACUUGCUGACUGAUGUUCGUCUGCACUGCACAGAGGAAAUCAACUGACCGAGGAGUGUUUCUGAGUGAGGGGGGAGGAGUCAUCAUCCAGGUAAAGUGACAUAGAUCAGUGGAUACACUUGUCUCCCCUUUAAAGGAGACGAUCCAAGUCAUCCUUAAAUAUGGGCAGCAUAUCAGUCUUGGACUGUGUAACCUGCCGGAGCAGCACUGAAUGACCACCACACAUGAGCAUGUUCCUGCAACAUUCAGCAUCUGAUCCUUCAUCUGUGUGCUUCUGCUUUUGUGUCACAUGUCAAACAGCUGGAGAGGAAACUACACCAGUGUACUGGGAUGUUUCACCAACACACCAGAUGCUGUUCCUUCAUGGUGACAUCACCAGAGACAGCCCCGCCCACCUCAGGACCUCGCCAUUGAUCAUGAUGAUUAUAAUGAUGACAGCGAGCGGAACUAAGACUGUAAAAAUCCACGACCAGAAUGUUUCUUUCUAAUUAUGAAUGAAUACUGAGAGCCUCUUUCUGUGUUUUGUCUGUUUUGGGGUUGUUUUUUUUACCUCAUUUGUUACUAACAAAGUUCACAAACUCACACAGUUUACAUUCUGUAUGUUUCCAUCUUUACCAGCCACACUAACUGCAUUUAAGAAAAUAAUCCUUAGAAAUCGUCGUUUUUCUCUUUUGUAAUUGAUGAUAAUUCAGUGAAUAUACUGCGCUGCUUCCUUUUAUUGCGUCACACAUUGCUUUAAGUUUUUCAGUGUCCAGUUAUUUUUUACUGCUGUUUGAAUUCUCUGUAUGUUUGACCCUGUAGACUGUUUGAUGGACUGCUUGUCUUCCUGUUUGUUACCGCCGCCUGUUUUUUAAUAAAGAUUUGGAUUUCUGACUUCA